UCACCGGGAUAUCAGAUGCUC
RNAcentral lists this microRNA (21 nucleotides) under Strongyloides ratti. Its description in RNAcentral is "str-miR-8393-3p". The record is from miRBase by way of RNAcentral. Lineage: Eukaryota; Metazoa; Nematoda; Chromadorea; Rhabditida; Strongyloididae.